CACAAAACAAACAGACACCCACGCAGCGAGAGGCGAAGUUUUAUGACGGUCAUCGAUGACGAUUGACUUGCCCGGACUCGGACUACCUACGGCAAGGAUUACAAAGGAUUGCCGAACAAUUGUAGUGCAAAUAUUUGCAUAUGCGAGAGCGUUACGCAUCCGGAAAAUGUCAAGGACGCAGCAAGUAAAGCAAAUAGAAUGGAAAGCAAAUCUGAUUUAAGAAGGGACUUAUAUGCAGGAAAUUAACUACCUGAAGAGCCAGUUGGUUAAGAUUGUUAAGUCUUACAGUUUGCCAGUAGAAGCUCCGAUGGGAAGUCAUUUAGUCAGUCAUUCAGUCAAUCAAGUGCAUUCACUUUGUUUUUCGCUUCGAGACGGCACCCCAAAACCAAAGGCCAAUUAUUACUAAUGUGAGCGAGGGGGAUGGGGGGCUGUGAGUUGAAUCGCGACGCGUUGCGUGAAAAUGUUGCACAUUUGCAUAAUGAUUGUAAUUAUCAAUAAAUAUUCAUUAGUGUGA
Drosophila virilis is the source of this 514-nucleotide long non-coding RNA. RefSeq lists it as uncharacterized. NCBI's taxonomy places the organism in Eukaryota, Metazoa, Arthropoda, Insecta, Diptera, Drosophilidae. The record is from RefSeq and is a predicted model, not a curated record.